RNAcentral lists this ribosomal RNA (422 nucleotides) under uncultured prokaryote. Its description in RNAcentral is "bacterial SSU rRNA". It matches the Rfam family "Bacterial small subunit ribosomal RNA", at positions 355 to 774 of the family's 1533-position model. The record is from RNAcentral.
UGAGGAAUAUUGGUCAAUGGGCGAAAGCCUGAACCAGCCAUGCCGCGUGCAGGAAGACGGCCCUACGGGUUGUAAACUGCUUUUCUGCGGGAAGAACGGCCCUUACGUGUAAGGGUGUGACGGUACCGCAGGAAUAAGGAUCGGCUAACUCCGUGCCAGCAGCCGCGGUAAUACGGAGGAUCCGAGCGUUAUCCGGAUUUACUGGGUUUAAAGGGUGCGUAGGCGGCUCCCUCAGUCAGCGGUGAAAUGUAUCGGCUCAACCGAUAACCUGCCGUUGAUACUGGUGAGCUUGAGUUGGGUUGAGGCAGGCGGAAUGUGCGGUGUAGCGGUGAAAUGCUUAGAUAUCGCACAGAACGCCGAUUGCGUAGGCAGCUUGCCAAGCCCACACUGACGCUGAGGCACGAAAGCGUGGGGAUCAAACA